AGUAAGACGAAAUACUUCACAUAAUCAGCUGAAGGAUGAGGCGGAGACCGGGAAUCGGAGGUCUGCAGAACGCGGCGGUGGCUAGGGAUCAAUAUCGAUUGUUAGGGGAAAAUGUUGCGAAAUUGAGAACAGAUCUUAUGAAAGAGCAGCUCGCUACUUUUCGAUCUCAGCUUGAAGAUUUCGCUCGAAAACACAAGAAUGACAUUCGCAAGAACCCUGCAUUCAGGGCACAGUUCCACGAGAUGUGUGCUAAAGUCGGAGUAGAUCCUCUAGCAUCAAACAAGGGUUUCUGGGCGGAACUCUUGGGGAUUGGUGACUUCUAUUAUGAACUUGGCAGGGGUACAGAUUAUUGAGGUUUGCCUAGCUACUAGACCCCACAAUGGAGGUUUGAUAAGCUUGGAUGAUCUUUGUAAACUGCUUGGUCAGAGACGGAAAGCUGUGCGCGAGACAAUAUCUGAAGAUGAUUGCUUGCGUGCUAUAAGCAAGCUGAAGGUACUAGGUAGCGGUUUUGAGGUGAUUACAGUGGGAAAGAGAAAGCUUGUUAGAUCUGUCCCUACCGAACUGAAUAAGGAUCACAAUGAAAUUUUAGAGCUCGCGCAGGCUCAAGGUUUUGUCACUGUUGAUGAGGUACAAAGACGCCUAAACUGGUCUUCAGGUCGUGCAACUGAUGCGCUUGAAACACUGUUGGAGGAAGGGCUUGCCAUGAUCGAUGAUGGGCAUAGAGAUGGCAAACGUCGAUACUGGUUCCCUUGUGUGUCCUCUGUCUCCUCCUAUGUAGGUGCAGACACUCUUUAGCGUUUUCCUUGUUCAGAUAUGAUAUAUCUCGCUUUGCACAACGAACUUGGAGGAUUGAUGCUACUUUUUUAUCCGUUUCUGUGGUCCAAAAAGCUUUUGAUUUGCAGUUAAUGCAUAUGUUAAGUGUGUUACCGUAUUGUGUAAUCAUAGUGUUGAAUCAUUCGUUGUUAUGUCAUACUCUUACAAGCCA
Molecule: unclassified non-coding RNA, 985 nt
Filed under: Hevea brasiliensis (rubber tree)
Lineage: Eukaryota; Viridiplantae; Streptophyta; Magnoliopsida; Malpighiales; Euphorbiaceae
Source: RNAcentral